GCCUAGUGUGGUGGUGCACACUUGUAAUCCCAAGGAAACUGAGUCUGGCAAAUCUCUUGAACUCUGGAGUUCUGAGCUACAGUGGGCUAAGACUGCUAAAUAUCUACACUAUGUUUAGCAUUAAUAUGGUGAGCCCCCAGAACAGAAAGACACCAGGCUGCCUAAGAAGGGGUGAACCCAUUCAGGUCAGAAUACAGAGCAGGUCAGUGCUUGUGCCGAUCAGCAGAGGGACCAGGCUAUGAACAGCCUCUGUACUUCUAGCCUGGGCAAAAUAGGGAGACCCAGUCUUA
Molecule: signal recognition particle RNA, 290 nt
Filed under: Phascolarctos cinereus (koala)
Lineage: Eukaryota; Metazoa; Chordata; Mammalia; Diprotodontia; Phascolarctidae
Description: Metazoan signal recognition particle RNA (ENSPCIG00000024310.2)
Rfam family: Metazoan signal recognition particle RNA
About the family: The signal recognition particle (SRP) is a universally conserved ribonucleoprotein.
Source: RNAcentral